AGAGUUUGAUCCUGGCUCAGGACGAACGCUGGCGGCGUGCUUAACACAUGCAAGUCGAACGCUGAAGCCCGAGCUUGCUCGGGUGGAUGAGUGGCGAACGGGUGAGUAACACGUGAGUAACCUGCCCAUGUCUCUGGGAUAAGCGCUGGAAACGGCGUCUAAUACUGGAUACGAGCAUCCACUGCAUGGUGAGGUGUUGGAAAGAUUUAUCGGACAUGGAUGGACUCGCGGCCUAUCAGCUUGAUGGUGAGGUAAUGGCUCACCAUGGCGACGACGGGUAGCCGGCCUGAGAGGGUGACCGGCCACACUGGGACUGAGACACGGCCCAGACUCCUACGGGAGGCAGCAGUGGGGAAUAUUGCACAAUGGGCGCAAGCCUGAUGCAGCAACGCCGCGUGAGGGAUGACGGCCUUCGGGUUGUAAACCUCUUUUGUCAGGGAAGAAGCCUUCGGGUGACGGUACCUGGAGAAAAAGCACCGGCUAACUACGUGCCAGCAGCCGCGGUAAUACGUAGGGUGCAAGCGUUGUCCGGAAUUAUUGGGCGUAAAGAGCUCGUAGGCGGCUUGUCGCGUCUGCUGUGAAAACCCGAGGCUCAACCUCGGGCCUGCAGUGGGUACGGGCAGGCUAGAGUGCGGUAGGGGAGAUUGGAAUUCCUGGUGUAGCGGUGGAGUGCGCAGAUAUCAGGAGGAACACCGAUGGCGAAGGCAGAUCUCUGGGCCGCUACUGACGCUGAGGAGCGAAAGCAUGGGGAGCGAACAGGAUUAGAUACCCUGGUAGUCCAUGCCGUAAACGUUGGGAACUAGAUGUAGGGCCUGUUCCACGGGUUCUGUGUCGUAGCUAACGCAUUAAGUUCCCCGCCCGGGGAGUACGGCCGCAAGGCUAAAACUCAAAGGAAUUGACGG
RNAcentral lists this ribosomal RNA (902 nucleotides) under uncultured Actinomycetes bacterium. RNAcentral's name for it is "bacterial SSU rRNA". It matches the Rfam family "Bacterial small subunit ribosomal RNA", at positions 8 to 916 of the family's 1533-position model. The record is from RNAcentral. Lineage: Bacteria; Bacillati; Actinomycetota; Actinomycetes.